Molecule: ribosomal RNA, 390 nt
Filed under: uncultured bacterium
Lineage: Bacteria
Description: bacterial SSU rRNA
Rfam family: Bacterial small subunit ribosomal RNA
Source: RNAcentral
AUUGAACGCUGGCGGCAUGCCUUACACAUGCAAGUCGAACGGUAGCGCGGGGUAACUUGGCGACGAGUGGCGAACGGGUGAGUAAUGCAUCGGAACGUGCCCUGGAAUGGGGGAUAACGUAGCGAAAGUUACGCUAAUACCGCAUAUUCUGUGAGCAGGAAAGCAGGGGAUCGCAAGACCUUGCGUUCUGGGAGCGGCCGAUGUCGGAUUAGCUAGUUGGUGGGGUAAAGGCCUACCAAGGCGACGAUCCGUAGCGGGUCUGAGAGGAUGAUCCGCCACACUGGGACUGAGACACGGCCCAGACUCCUACGGGAGGCAGCAGUGGGGAAUUUUGGACAAUGGGCGCAAGCCUGAUCCAGCCAUGCCGCGUGAGUGAAGAAGGCCUCGGUU